This 335-nucleotide long non-coding RNA is filed under the name Homo sapiens (human). Its description in RNAcentral is "novel transcript". Lineage: Eukaryota; Metazoa; Chordata; Mammalia; Primates; Hominidae. The record is from RNAcentral.
AGUUUUCCGGUGGCGGCGGCGCUAGUUGGUCUGCACGAAACGUUUCCCUUCUCGCUCCGUGUGUCCCAUUCUCCAUCCCACGUCCUCCAGUGCCGGGGUCAUGGUCGCAGCACCCGGCGUUCCCGUUGGCUCUUUUGCCGCUGCGCGGAGCCGGCGGUUUUUCUGUCACAGCACUUGUACGGAGUUUCUCGGCGGCCGAACGUCUCUUUUUUUCUCAGAGACGACGGUUUCUUGGUGACAGUACCGUUGGUUGCGCCGUAACGAAUGUUCUCCUUGACAGCCCCACCAGCUGGCGUCACUCGCAGGCUCCAGACGCCGCCAUUUCGCCAAGCCGA